Molecule: ribosomal RNA, 500 nt
Filed under: uncultured bacterium
Lineage: Bacteria
Description: bacterial SSU rRNA
Rfam family: Bacterial small subunit ribosomal RNA
Source: RNAcentral
UAUCCUGGCUCAGAACGAACGUUGGCGGCGUGGAUUAGGCAUGCAAGUCGAACGAAUCCCGGGGCCGUCGCAAGACGGCGCCGGGGGAAGUGGCGAAAGGGGCAGUAAGGCAUGGCUAACCUACCCCGGGGACGGGCAUAGCCUCCCUAACGGGAGGGUAAUUCCCGGCGAGCUGCCGAGGGGGCAUCCCCUUGGCAGGAAACGAGUUUCGCCUCGGGAGGGGGUCAUGUGCUAUUACCUGGUUGGCGGGGUAACGGCCCACCAAGGGGAAGAUGGCUAGCGGGUGUGAGAGCACGACCCGCGCCACUGGCACUGAGACACUGGCCAGACUCCUACGGGAGGCUGCAGUCGAGGAUCUUCGGCAAUGGGCGCAAGCCUGACCGAGCGACGCCGCGUGCGCGAUGAAGGCCUUCGGGUUGUAAAGCGCUGUCGAGGGGGAGGAAAGCCGCAAGGUCCUCACCUAUCCCUGGAAGGAAGACACGGGGCUAAGUUUACAGUGC